UACAGAGGGGCAAGCGUUAUUCGGAAUUAUUGGGCGUAAAGGGCGCGUAGGCGGCUUGGCAAGUGGAAGGUGAAAUCCCUCGGCUUAACCGAGGAACUGCCCUCCAAACUGCUUCGCUUGAGACCGGGAGAGGUGGAGUGGAAUUCCCAGUGUAGCGGUGAAAUGCGUAGAUAUUGGGAGGAACACCAGUGGCGAAGGCGGCUCACUGGACCGGUACUGACGCUGAUGCGCGAAAGCGUGGGGAGCAAACGGGGAUUAAGAA
This 262-nucleotide ribosomal RNA is filed under the name uncultured bacterium. Its description in RNAcentral is "partial 16S ribosomal RNA". It matches the Rfam family "Bacterial small subunit ribosomal RNA", at positions 524 to 784 of the family's 1533-position model. The record is from RNAcentral.